RNAcentral lists this ribosomal RNA (557 nucleotides) under uncultured bacterium. RNAcentral's name for it is "partial 16S ribosomal RNA". It matches the Rfam family "Bacterial small subunit ribosomal RNA", at positions 355 to 932 of the family's 1533-position model. The record is from RNAcentral.
UGGGGAAUCUUAGACAAUGGGGGAAACCCUGAUCUAGCCAUGCCGCGUGAGCGAUGAAGGCCUUAGGGUUGUAAAGCUCUUUCAGCUGGGAAGAUAAUGACGGUACCAGCAGAAGAAGCCCCGGCUAACUCCGUGCCAGCAGCCGCGGUAAUACGGAGGGGGCUAGCGUUGUUCGGAAUUACUGGGCGUAAAGCGCACGUAGGCGGAUUAGUCAGUCAGAGGUGAAAUCCCAGGGCUCAACCCUGGAACUGCCUUUGAUACUGCUAGUCUUGAGGUCGAGAGAGGUGAGUGGAAUUCCGAGUGUAGAGGUGAAAUUCGUAGAUAUUCGGAGGAACACCAGUGGCGAAGGCGGCUCACUGGCUCGAUACUGACGCUGAGGUGCGAAAGCGUGGGGGAGCAAAACAGGAUUAGAUACCCCUGGUAGUCCACGCCGUAAACGAUGAUGCCAGUCGUCGGGUUGCAUGCAAUUCGGUGACACACCUAACGGGNUUUAAACUUCCGCCUGGGGAGUACGGUCGCAAGAUUAAAACUCAAAUGAAUUGACGGGGUCAUAGCUG